UUAGAGUUUUGAUCCUGGCUCAGGAUGAACGCUGGCGGCGUGCCUAAUACAUGCAAGUCGAGCGAACUGAUUAGAAGCUUGCUUCUAUGUACGUUAGCGGCGGACGGGUGNAGUAACACGUGGGCAACCUGCCUGUAAGACUGGGAUAACUUCGGGAAACCGAAGCUAAUACCGGAUAGGAUCUUCUCCUUCAUGGGAGAUGAUUGAAAGAUGGUUUCGGCUAUCACUUACAGAUGGGCCCGCGGUGCAUUAGCUAGUUGGUGAGGUAACGGCUCACCAAGGCAACGAUGCAUAGCCGACCUGAGAGGGUGAUCGGCCACACUGGGACUGAGACACGGCCCAGACUCCUACGGGAGGCAGCAGUAGGGAAUCUUCCGCAAUGGACGAAAGUCUGACGGAGCAACGCCGCGUGAGUGAUGAAGGCUUUCGGGUCGUAAAACUCUGUUGUUAGGGAAGAACAAGUACNAGAGUAACUGCUNGUACCUUGACGGUACCUAACCAGAAAGCCACGGCUAACUACGUGCCAGCAGCCGCGGUAAUAC
Molecule: ribosomal RNA, 542 nt
Filed under: marine sediment bacterium ISA-3194
Lineage: Bacteria
Description: bacterial SSU rRNA
Rfam family: Bacterial small subunit ribosomal RNA
Source: RNAcentral